UGGGGAAUAUUGCACAAUGGGCGCAAGCCUGAUGCAGCCAUGCCGCGUGUGUGAAGAAGGCCUUCGGUUGUAAAGCACUUUCAGCGAGGAGGAAGGUGGGUGAACUUAAUACGUUCAUCAAUUGACGUUACUCGCAGAAGAAGCACCGGCUAACUCCGUGCCAGCAGCCGCGGUAAUACGGAGGGUGCAAGCGUUAAUCGGAAUUACUGGGCGUAAAGCGCACGCAGGCGGUUUGUUAAGUCAGAUGUGAAAUCCCCGGGCUCAACCUGGGAACUGCAUUUGAAACUGGCAAGCUAGAGUCUCGUAGAGGGGGGUAGAAUUCCAGGUGUAGCGGUGAGAUGCGUAGAGAUCUGGAGGAAUACCGGUGGCGAAGGCGGCCCCCUGGACGAAGACUGACGCUCAGGUGCGAAAGCGUGGGGAGCAAAGCAGGAUUAGAUACCCUGGUAGUCCACGCUGUAAACGUGUCGAUUUGGAGGUUGUGGCCUUGAGGCGUGGCUUCCGGAGCUGAACGCGUUAAAUCGACCGCCUGGGGAGUACGGCCGCAAGGUUAAAACUCAAAUGAAUUGACGGGGUCAUAGCUGUUUCCUG
RNAcentral lists this ribosomal RNA (588 nucleotides) under uncultured bacterium. RNAcentral describes it as "partial 16S ribosomal RNA". It matches the Rfam family "Bacterial small subunit ribosomal RNA", at positions 355 to 1376 of the family's 1533-position model. The record is from RNAcentral.